Molecule: ribosomal RNA, 406 nt
Filed under: uncultured bacterium
Lineage: Bacteria
Description: partial 16S ribosomal RNA
Rfam family: Bacterial small subunit ribosomal RNA
Source: RNAcentral
AUUGAACGCUGGCGGCAGGCCUAACACAUGCAAGUCGAACGAGUGGCGGACGGGUGAGUAAUGUCUGGGAAACUGCCUGAUGGAGGGGGAUAACUACUGGAAACGGUAGCUAAUACCGCAUACCAUCGGAUGUGCCCAGAUGGGCUUAGCUAGUAGGUGGGGUAAAGGCUCACCGAGGAGACUAACCCUGACUGGUCUGAGAGGAUGACAAGCCACAAUGGAACUGAGACACGGUCCAGAGUCCUACGGUAGGCAGCAGUGGGGAAUAUUGCACAAUGGGCGCAAGCCUGAUGCAGCCAUGCCGAGUGUAUGAAGAAGGCCUUCGGGUUGUAAAGUACUUUCAGCUGAGAGGCGUGACCCGCAGAAGAAGCACCGGCUAACUCCGUGCCAGCAGCCGCGGUAAUAC